Molecule: long non-coding RNA, 476 nt
Organism: Ailuropoda melanoleuca (giant panda)
Lineage: Eukaryota; Metazoa; Chordata; Mammalia; Carnivora; Ursidae
Exons: 2
Source: RefSeq, a predicted model, not a curated record
AAGAAGCUUCGCGUGUUGGGUCCCCGGAGACCGGGAGCGUAUCAGCGGUGAGGGAGGCGGGUACUUCCGCCAGGAGGGCCCAAUCGCAGUGGUGGGGCAGUUUCUAUAAAAGCUUGAGCCUCGGGCCUUCGCGUUCUUUCGGGAUCGAGUGCCGGUGUAGCUGGUUUUGCUUUUUGCCGCCAUGUGCCAAGGCCAUGGGCGCCCUGGGCCCCGAGGGCGUUUGAGGGGGUCCCCCCAAGCCUGCAGGCGGGCCUGGCUCUCUUUCGCCUUGGUGUUGUUCACGUUUUUUGCUCCGCCCCCUUACCCCCUUCGGUCGGGGAAGUCCGAAGCUCCAGGCCUACGUCUUCCUGCAGGGCGGUGGGUAACCCGGCUGGAGACUGAACGUGAGUGGACCGCAGUCUGGAGGCCUGCUGGUAAGACGGGAGCCCGUGUCUGUAUGGGAGGCGCUUAGCAAUAAAGCAAAAGUGGUGAAUUGA